Saccostrea cuccullata (small rock oyster) is the source of this 1987-nucleotide long non-coding RNA. RefSeq lists it as uncharacterized. The transcript has 8 exons. NCBI's taxonomy places the organism in Eukaryota, Metazoa, Mollusca, Bivalvia, Ostreida, Ostreidae. The record is from RefSeq and is a predicted model, not a curated record.
CAAAGUGGUAAGUAACUUUUCGUGAUUUGUUGCAUUCUUUUGAAGUUUUACUAACAUUGUGCCAGUUUUAUACUUUCAGGGACUGGGAAGAGGAACAACGAUGGAGGAGCAGGGUUGACCAACAGAGGAAGACGAGAUGACGAGUCCAUUUCCCAUCUCUAUACAGCAGCCAACAUGGCCCAAAGUGGUAAGUAACUUUUCGUGAUUUGUUGCAUUCUUUUGAAGUUUUACUAACAUUGUGCCAGUUUUAUACUUUCAGGGACUGGGAAGAGGAACAACGAUGGAGGAGCAGGGUCGACCAACAGAGGAAGACGAGAUGACGAGUCCAUUUCCCAUCUCUAUACAGCAGCCAACAUGGCCCAAAGUGGUAAGUAACUUUUCGUGAUUUGUUGCAUUCUUUUGAAGUUUUACUAACAUUGUGCCAGUUUUAUACUUUCAGGGACUGGGAAGAGGAACAACGAUGGAGGAGCAGGGUCGACCAACAGAGGAAGACGAGAUGACGAGUCCAUUUCCCAUCUCUAUACAGCAGCCAACAUGGCCCAAAGUGGUAAGUAACUUUUCGUGAUUUGUUGCAUUCUUUUGAAGUUUUACUAACAUUGUGCCAGUUUUAUACUUUCAGGGACUGGGAAGAGGAACAACGAUGGAGGAGCAAGGUCGACCAACAGAGGAAGACGAGAUGACGAGUCCAUUUCCCAUCUCUAUACAGCAGCCAACAUGGCCCAAAGUGGUAAGUAACUUUUCGUGAUUUGUUGCAUUUUUUUGAAGUUUUACUAACAUUGUGCCAGUUUUAUACUUUCAGGGACUCGGAAGAGGAACAACGAUGGAGGAGCAAGGUCGACCAACAGCAAAAGACAGGAUGACGAGUCCAUUUCCCAUCUCUAUGCAGCAACCAAUAUGGCUCAAGGUUGUAAAAGAAAUUUGAGGCUGACCAGGAUCCUGAAGUGAAGAGCAGUCCCUCUCCCAUUUAACAGCAUUCAUGAGCAGAAAGUGCAGAAGCAGAGAUAGCCACCUCUGAAGGUCAGUCUGGAGUGUUUUCUGCUGCAUUCAGAAAGUAUGGGGUGUAUAGUAGUUAGGAAUACUUUUAAGGCUGAACAGGAUCCUGAAGUGAGGAGGACUCCCUCUCUCAUUGAACUGCAUACAGCAGCAGAAAGCAGGAUUUCAGUUCCCCUUUGAUUCAGAAGAGGAACAACAAUGGAGGACCAAGGUCAUUAAUAUAAGAAGAGUCUAUUCCUGUCUGUGUUUUGCAGCAGAAGAAAGUUAAGACUGACCAGGAAUUCUAAGUGAGGAAGAGUCCCUUUCCCAUUCCGCUGCAGCCAUGAGGAGAAUACUCGUAAGAAUCAGACUUUACUUCUUUUUCACCUAUGGAACUUCAUCAUGACCCACUUUAACAGGCAGGAGUCUUACAAGUAUUUUUUAUUUAAUUAUUUCUGACAUAUCUUUGUCCUCCCUACUCUAAAGUAACUAUGCUUUCCUCUCCUUGCCCCAAUAUUCCACCUUAUUCCUAGCUAUCAUAACCUUAUUGUCUUUAUUUGCUUUUUGAUUUUCAAGCUAAUAAUGUUGUAAUGAUUAUGUUCAUUUGAAUUUCUGUGAUUAUUACAUUGCUUUGUAUUAUUGCUUAUCUUCUCUCCAUCAAGUAUUUUCAAGGAAUUUGACAAGGGAAGAGGACCAGUGCUGACCAAGUGAAGAAAAAGAAGAGUCUAUUGCCAAGCUUUGUACAGCAGCCAAUAUCUGAUUAAGGAGUGGGCAGGCGGUUAUGCUGGCAUUGAUCCUGUUUCCAAAAGCAGAUCAACAUGAUUCCUCAAGACUCCAAAGAGAUCAACUAUGGGACCUGAAAAUAAAGGCAGACUGCCAUCAAUUUCAUGUUUCUUUGAUAGCAGACAAAUAUGCUUCAACAAUAGUGCAGAGUAAUUUAAGGUUUGUACUGUAAGUGAUGGACACACUAAAUAACUCAACUCAAAGAAUUCAAUGGAUAGUGCUGAGUACAUUG